CACGAAUUGUCGUGGUCAUGGUGUUGAAAGGUUCAGGCUUUGACGCUGAUGGCUCUACCUCCUUAAGAGACAGACCCACCCCCUGACACAGUCGGGGCAGGCACAGGAAAACUUGCUAAGUCAUCGCAGGACACCCGCCAUGCAUUACACCUGCUGAAGACUCUGGGCAUGCGUAGAACCUCAGUGCACAGACAGUCUUACUGUACUGCCUUAGCUGACCUUGAACAUCUGGCUCCCAAGAUCUUGCUUCAGCUUCCCAAGUCUAUGGUCCCUAGCUGGCCUGAAAUCCUCAGAAAUCUACCUGCCUCAGCCUCCUGAGUGCUGGGAUUAAAGGCGUGGGGGUGGACUUUGAGGUCUCCUAUGCUCAAGCUACUCUCAGCGAGACAGACCACUUCCUGUUGUCUGACUAUCAAGAUAAAGGGCUCUCAGCCCCAGCACCAUAUCAGCCUGCAUGUCACCAUGUGACACCAUGUGAUAAUGGACUAAACCUCUGAAAAUGUAAGCUACCCC
Molecule: long non-coding RNA, 510 nt
Filed under: Cricetulus griseus (Chinese hamster)
Lineage: Eukaryota; Metazoa; Chordata; Mammalia; Rodentia; Cricetidae
Description: lncRNA (ENSCGRG00015040269.1)
Source: RNAcentral